This 530-nucleotide ribosomal RNA is filed under the name uncultured cyanobacterium. RNAcentral describes it as "bacterial SSU rRNA". It matches the Rfam family "Bacterial small subunit ribosomal RNA", at positions 353 to 896 of the family's 1533-position model. The record is from RNAcentral. Lineage: Bacteria; Bacillati; Cyanobacteriota.
AGUGGGGAAUUUUCCGCAAUGGGCGACAGCCUGACGGAGCAAGACCGCGUGGGGGAGGAAGGCUCUUGGGUCGUAAACCCCUUUUCUCAAGGAAGAACACAAUGACGGUACUUGAGGAAUCAGCCUCGGCUAACUCCGUGCCAGCAGCCGCGGUAAUACGGAGGAGGCAAGCGUUAUCCGGAAUUAUUGGGCGUAAAGAGUCCGUAGGUGGUGGGGCAAGUCGGCGGUUAAAGCCUGGGGCUUAACUCCAGAGAAGCCGUGGAAACUGCACCACUAGAGGGCAGUAGGGGUAGAGGGAAUUCCCGGUGUAGCGGUGAAAUGCGUAGAGAUCGGGAAGAACACCAGUGGCGAAAGCGCUCUACUGGACUGCAACUGACACUGAGGGACGAAAGCUAGGGGAGCGAAUGGGAUUAGAUACCCCAGUAGUCCUAGCCGUAAACGAUGGAUACUAGGUGUUGUCUGUAUCGACCCAGACAGUGCCGGAGCUAACGCGAUAAGUAUCCCGCCUGGGGAGUACGCACGCAAGUGUG